Papaver somniferum (opium poppy) is the source of this 1184-nucleotide long non-coding RNA. RefSeq lists it as uncharacterized. The transcript has 4 exons. The record is from RefSeq and is a predicted model, not a curated record. NCBI's taxonomy places the organism in Eukaryota, Viridiplantae, Streptophyta, Magnoliopsida, Ranunculales, Papaveraceae.
CCGUUGGGGUUAGCCUAACGGGUGAUUGGCCAGGGAAACUAUUUUAAAGGACUCGACUAACCCCCCUGAUAAUCCCUAACCCUAGAAUUAACACUCUCCUCCUCCUCACUCCAGCGGCAGCCUCCACGGCUUUUCCUUCUCCCCACCGUUACACCUCCAACUUCACACUCCCGAGAAGUAUAAUCGAAGCUGUUAAACAUGAUAAUCAAGUUUCCCUCCUCUAUCUCUGGUGGAGAUUCUCUCUAUCGCAGCAGAUACUUCACUUCUGAUUAAUUUGUGGUUUUUCUUUGCAGAGAUGUUUUAAGAGGUAAAACAAUUGUAGAUGUUUCUGACAAGGACAGAGUAUGAUGGACUGGUGAUAUGGUCCUUUAGGCCGAUCUGUUGCUCGUAGUAACUGGGCUGAAGUUUAUUAUUCUAAAGGUGCAGAGUUGAUUAAUUCUAUUCUUGACGCCUUUAGAAAAGAAGCUGAAAACAAUAAUGGUUCACAAGUAGUACUUGGUGGGUGUAGGAGAUGGUGGAGUUGUGAUUUGUAAUAGUAAGGAGCAGGUAAUGGUGAUGGUGGUGGUAAUGAUUUUUUUCAGCAUGGAGUGGGUACUGGAGAUGGUGGUGGUUGUGAUUUGUAGGAAUUUGGGGCUUGUACGUAUGGGUUGGUACGAUAAUAUGGACAGUUGUUCCACUGGAGACGGUUGUUUCUUGAUGGACAAUACGUGUUGGCGUAUGAAUGGUGUUUGGUUCUUGUGUGCUGGUUGGCUCUCCGCUCCGCGCGGCGAAGGGCAAUCCCUAUUACCUCUUCAGUCCCGUCCCAUGUUUUCCUUCGGGAAACACUCGUUUGGUUCCUGUGGUGCCUACCUAUCAAGAAGGUGGUAAUCAUUCUUGGCAUCAUAGAGGAGUUCAAGUACAGACUAAGAUGGAUUCAGUGGUAAUUAUUCUUGGUAGUCAUUCAAGAAAUCAACUUCCAAAUGGGAUUCAGUGGCUAACUUAUAAUGGUGACUGGAUCUUAAACUAAGAUGUACGCUGAACACGAAAGAAAUUCAAGACAAGGAGCAACUGUUGCAGUUAUUAUGGCUUUCUUCUGAUCUGUCGGAUGAAGAAGGCAUUGUUUUAUUUGUCUUUCAUGCAAGCAGCUCCAAGGUUUGUUAUGAAGAAAUUUUAAUGGUUGAAUACAGAUCAUACAUGAUUAGGCA